Molecule: long non-coding RNA, 762 nt
Organism: Mustela erminea (ermine)
Lineage: Eukaryota; Metazoa; Chordata; Mammalia; Carnivora; Mustelidae
Exons: 2
Source: RefSeq, a predicted model, not a curated record
GUGGGCUCCCACUGGUCCUUGGCUGGACGGCCAGAAACGGAGAAUCCACAGAGAUUCAGCGGAAGCCCUCACUACUUUGGACCGGGACCCUCAACUCUAGUAAUAAUGUGCACGUCUGAGACCUUUUGUGUGUCUGACCGUUUUGAGUUGCCAUCCUGCCCAUGGCUGGGAGUUUCCAGGAAGAUAGUCGGCUGAUGUAGCAUCUUCAGAGUCUUAAAUGAUACUGUGCAACCAUCAUGAUGUCAGAGAACUCAACAACUCUAGCUGUAACAAAAGGAAAAGCUGAGACGGAUCUAAGUCUAACUAUGGAUGUUCUCUCCACAAUCUCCUAAUGAGCAAAGUCUUGGAAAAGGUGAAGAGCUGGGUAGUAGACUAAAGUCCUGAGGCUGACUUCAUCUGCCCUGGGCUAAGAGGGAGGCUGAGACAGAGAAGGCAUUCUCUGACAGCCUGGUGCUGGCCUGGCACUACCAUCAAGACUUCGGUGUUGAGAGGAGCCAGUAUGACACUGACAACUAGACUGGGUUUUCUCUUGAUGAGCACGAACAGUUUCACAAAAUACCAACACAACAAGACAAAGCCUCCACUGCGACAGAUCAAGACAAAAACAAGACCAGUCCAUCAUGACUGAACACAGACAAAAACAAGAACAUUAUCCAAACAGAAAUUACGAAAUAUCCUCAUCCUGGCUAAUAUGAUCAUUAUGCUCUUUUAUCAAUUAUAGUUUUAGUUUUGCUCCUUUUUCCCCCCACAUUUCAGAUAAAA